ACUAACAAGGAUCCCCUAGUAACUGCGAGUGAAGCGGGAAAAGCUCAAAUUUAAAAUCUGGCGGUCUUUGGCCGUCCGAGUUGUAAUCUAGAGAAGUAAUGCCCGUGCUGGACCGUGUAUAAGUCUCCUGGGAUGGGGCGUCAUAGAGGGUGAGAAUCCCGUCUUUGACACGGACUACCAGUGCAUUGUGGUAUGCUCUCAAAGAGUCGAGUUGUUUGGGAAUGCAGCUCAAAAUGGGUGGUAAAUUCCAUCUAAAGCUAAAUAUUGGCGAGAGACCGAUAGCGAACAAGUACCGUGAGGGAAAGAUGAAAAGAACUUUGGAAAGAGAGUUAAACAGUACGUGAAAUUGCUGAAAGGGAAACGCUUGAAGUCAGUCGCGUUGGCCAGGGAUCAGCCUUGCUUUUGCAUGGUGUACUUUCUGGUUGACGGGUCAGCAUCAAUUUUGACCACUGGAAAAGGGCCUGGGGAAUGUGGCAGCUUAGGCUGUGUUAUAGCCCCUGGUCGCAUACAGUGGUUGGGAUUGAGGAACUCAGCACGCCGCAAGGCCGGGUUUCGACCACGUUCGUGCUUAGGAUGCUGGCAUAAUGGCUUUAAGCGACCCGUCUUGAAACACGGACCAAGGAGUCUAACAUGCCUGCGAGUAUUUGGGUGGAAAACCCGAGUGCGCAAUGAAAGUGAAAGUUGAGAUCCCUGUCGUGGGGAGCAUCGACGCCCGGACCAGAACUUUUGGGACGGAUCCGCGGUGGAGCAUGUAUGUUGGGACCCGAAAGAUGGUGAACUAUGCCUGAAUAGGGUGAAGCCAGAGGAAACUCUGGUGGAGGCUCGUAGCGAUUCUGACGUGCAAAUCGAUCGUCAAAUUUGGGUAUAGG
Molecule: ribosomal RNA, 869 nt
Filed under: Agaricus sinodeliciosus
Lineage: Eukaryota; Fungi; Basidiomycota; Agaricomycetes; Agaricales; Agaricaceae
Description: eukaryotic LSU rRNA
Rfam family: Eukaryotic large subunit ribosomal RNA
Source: RNAcentral